UACGUAUGGGGCGAGCGUUGUUCGGAUUUACUGGGCGUAAAGGGUGCGUAGGCGGGAUAUUAAGUUGGAUGUGAAAUCCUAUGGCUUAACCAUAGAAUCGCACCCAAAACUGGUAUUCUUGAGUACGGGAGAGGAGAGCGGAAUUCCUAGUGUAGGGGUGAAAUCUGUAGAUAUUAGGAAGAACACCGGCGGCGAAGGCGGCUCUCAAUCUUGAUACUGACGCUGAGGCACGAAAGCCAGGGGAGCAAACGGG
Molecule: ribosomal RNA, 253 nt
Filed under: uncultured bacterium
Lineage: Bacteria
Description: partial 16S ribosomal RNA
Rfam family: Bacterial small subunit ribosomal RNA
Source: RNAcentral